ACGGGUGUGGUGUAAUGGUAGCACAAUGCUCUCCAAAAGCAUUAGUCCGGGUUCGAAUCCUGGCACCCGUGCCA
This 74-nucleotide transfer RNA is filed under the name Candidatus Curtissbacteria bacterium RIFOXYA1_FULL_41_14. RNAcentral describes it as "tRNA-Trp". It matches the Rfam family "tRNA". Rfam says of the family: Transfer RNA (tRNA) molecules are approximately 80 nucleotides in length. Lineage: Bacteria; Candidatus Curtissiibacteriota. The record is from RNAcentral. RNAcentral also lists the same sequence under 3 other names.